Molecule: ribosomal RNA, 253 nt
Filed under: uncultured Hyphomicrobiales bacterium
Lineage: Bacteria; Pseudomonadati; Pseudomonadota; Alphaproteobacteria; Hyphomicrobiales
Description: uncultured Rhizobiales bacterium partial 16S ribosomal RNA
Rfam family: Bacterial small subunit ribosomal RNA
Source: RNAcentral
UACGAAGGGGGCUAGCGUUGUUCGGAAUCACUGGGCGUAAAGCGUACGUAGGCGGAUCGUUAAGUCAGGGGUGAAAUCCCGAGGCUCAACCUCGGAACUGCCUUUGAUACUGGCGAUCUUGAGUCCGGGAGAGGUGAGUGGAACUCCUAGUGUAGAGGUGAAAUUCGUAGAUAUUAGGAAGAACACCAGUGGCGAAGGCGGCUCACUGGCCCGGAACUGACGCUGAGGUACGAAAGCGUGGGGAGCAAACAGG